This 497-nucleotide ribosomal RNA is filed under the name uncultured bacterium. RNAcentral describes it as "partial 16S ribosomal RNA". It matches the Rfam family "Bacterial small subunit ribosomal RNA", at positions 28 to 507 of the family's 1533-position model. The record is from RNAcentral.
GAUGAACGCUGGCGGCGUGCCUAAUACAUGCAAGUCGAGCGAACAGAUGAGGAGCUUGCUCCUCUGACGUUAGCGGCGGACGGGUGAGUAACACGUGGAUAACAUACCUAUAAGACUGGGAUAACUUCGGGAAACCGGAGCUAUUACCGGAUAAUAUAUUGAACCGCAUGGUUCAAUAGUGAAAGACGGUUUUGCUGUCACUUAUAGAUGGAUCCGCGCCGCAUUAGCUAGUUGGUAAGGUAACGGCUUACCAAGGCAACGAUGCGUAGCCGACCUGAGAGGGUGGUCGGCCACACUGGAACUGAGACACGGUCCAGACUCCUACGGGAGGCAGCAGUAGGGAAUCUUCCGCAAGGGGCGAAAGCCGGACGGAGCAACGCCGCGUGAGUGAUGAAGGUCUUCUGAUCGUAAAACUCUGUUAUUAGGGAAGAACAAAUGUGUAAGUAACUAUGCACGUCUUGACGGUACCUAAUCAGAAAGCCACGGCUAACUACGUG